Molecule: ribosomal RNA, 373 nt
Filed under: uncultured organism
Description: partial 16S ribosomal RNA
Rfam family: Bacterial small subunit ribosomal RNA
Source: RNAcentral
GUAGGUGGCAAGCGUUGUCCGGAAUUAUUGGGCGUAAAGCGCGCGCAGGCGGUUCUUUAAGUCUGAUGUGAAAGCCCACGGCUCAACCGUGGAGGGUCAUUGGAAACUGGAGAACUUGAGUACAGAAGAGGAAAGCGGAAUUCCACGUGUAGCGGUGAAAUGCGUAGAGAUGAGGAGGAACACCAGUGGCGAAGGCGGCUUUCUGGUCUGUAACUGACGCUGAGGCGCGAAAGCGUGGGGAGCAAACAGGAUUAGAUACCCUGGUAGUCCACGCCGUAAACGAUGAGUGCUAAGUGUUAGGGGGGUUUCCGCCCCCCUUAGUGCUGCAGCUAACGCAUUAAGCACUCCGCCUGGGAGUACGGCCGCAAGGCUG